Odocoileus virginianus texanus is the source of this 525-nucleotide long non-coding RNA. RefSeq lists it as uncharacterized. Lineage: Eukaryota; Metazoa; Chordata; Mammalia; Artiodactyla; Cervidae. The record is from RefSeq and is a predicted model, not a curated record.
AGGAGCCUGGCAGGCUAUAGGCAGUCCAUAGGGUCACAAAGAGUUGGACAGGACUGAAGCGACUUAGCACGUAAGCAUUCUAAUUUUGCUUAGUUAGGGAUGUAAUAAAUUUUUGCUACUGUUAAUGCGAAAUGAAUAGUAUACAAAUCUUUGUUCACAUUUGCUCUAUUUUAUCUAUGAUAGUUUCCUGAAACAUGGAAUUGGUGACACAUAUUGCCACAAGGCUUUCUAGAAAUGUACCAUUGUAUGGAAAUACUUGUUUUAUUGAACCCUUAACAAACUGGUUGUGUUUGAAGAGAACUUUGCUAUUGUUUUGGGGUUGGAAGCAUUUGUUGAAAAGCCUUGCUACUUAGCAUGGCCCACAGAGGAGAAGCAACUGGCAACAUCUGGGGGCUUAAGGAAAGGCAAAAUCUUGACCACAGAGCUUGCUGAAUCCCUAUUAAUAAGAUCUCUCAAGUGAUGUGUAUUAAAGUCUGAAAAGCACCAUAGUACAUCCCAUAUUAAAAGUUGCAUGGAGAUUUUGAA